RNAcentral lists this ribosomal RNA (1543 nucleotides) under Escherichia coli. RNAcentral describes it as "bacterial SSU rRNA". It matches the Rfam family "Bacterial small subunit ribosomal RNA". Lineage: Bacteria; Pseudomonadati; Pseudomonadota; Gammaproteobacteria; Enterobacterales; Enterobacteriaceae. The record is from RNAcentral.
AAAUUGAAGAGUUUGAUCAUGGCUCAGAUUGAACGCUGGCGGCAGGCCUAACACAUGCAAGUCGAACGGUAACAGGAAGCAGCUUGCUGCUUUGCUGACGAGUGGCGGACGGGUGAGUAAUGUCUGGGAAACUGCCCGAUGGAGGGGGAUAACUACUGGAAACGGUAGCUAAUACCGCAUAACGUCGCAAGACCAAAGAGGGGGACCUUCGGGCCUCUUGCCAUCGGAUGUGCCCAGAUGGGAUUAGCUAGUAGGUGGGGUAACGGCUCACCUAGGCGACGAUCCCUAGCUGGUCUGAGAGGAUGACCAGCCACACUGGAACUGAGACACGGUCCAGACUCCUACGGGAGGCAGCAGUGGGGAAUAUUGCACAAUGGGCGCAAGCCUGAUGCAGCCAUGCCGCGUGUAUGAAGAAGGCCUUCGGGUUGUAAAGUACUUUCAGCGGGGAGGAAGGGAGUAAAGUUAAUACCUUUGCUCAUUGACGUUACCCGCAGAAGAAGCACCGGCUAACUCCGUGCCAGCAGCCGCGGUAAUACGGAGGGUGCAAGCGUUAAUCGGAAUUACUGGGCGUAAAGCGCACGCAGGCGGUUUGUUAAGUCAGAUGUGAAAUCCCCGGGCUCAACCUGGGAACUGCAUCUGAUACUGGCAAGCUUGAGUCUCGUAGAGGGGGGGUAGAAUUCCAGGUGUAGCGGUGAAAUGCGUAGAGAUCUGGAGGAAUACCGGUGGCGAAGGCGGCCCCCUGGACGAAGACUGACGCUCAGGUGCGAAAGCGUGGGGAGCAAACAGGAUUAGAUACCCUGGUAGUCCACGCCGUAAACGAUGUCGACUUGGAGGUUGUGCCCUUGAGGCGUGGCUUCCGGAGCUAACGCGUUAAGUCGACCGCCUGGGGAGUACGGCCGCAAGGUUAAAACUCAAAUGAAUUGACGGGGGCCCGCACAAGCGGUGGAGCAUGUGGUUUAAUUCGAUGCAACGCGAAGAACCUUACCUGGUCUUGACAUCCACGGAAGUUUUCAGAGAUGAGAAUGUGCCUUCGGGAACCGUGAGACAGGUGCUGCAUGGCUGUCGUCAGCUCGUGUUGUGAAAUGUUGGGUUAAGUCCCGCAACGAGCGCAACCCUUAUCCUUUGUUGCCAGCGGUCCGGCCGGGAACUCAAAGGAGACUGCCAGUGAUAAACUGGAGGAAGGUGGGGAUGACGUCAAGUCAUCAUGGCCCUUACGACCAGGGCUACACACGUGCUACAAUGGCGCAUACAAAGAGAAGCGACCUCGCGAGAGCAAGCGGACCUCAUAAAGUGCGUCGUAGUCCGGAUUGGAGUCUGCAACUCGACUCCAUGAAGUCGGAAUCGCUAGUAAUCGUGGAUCAGAAUGCCACGGUGAAUACGUUCCCGGGCCUUGUACACACCGCCCGUCACACCAUGGGAGUGGGUUGCAAAAGAAGUAGGUAGCUUAACCUUCGGGAGGGCGCUUACCACUUUGUGAUUCAUGACUGGGGUGAAGUCGUAACAAGGUAACCGUAGGGGAACCUGCGGUUGGAUCACCUCCUUA